RNAcentral lists this ribosomal RNA (1436 nucleotides) under uncultured Candidatus Pelagibacter sp. RNAcentral's name for it is "bacterial SSU rRNA". It matches the Rfam family "Bacterial small subunit ribosomal RNA". The record is from RNAcentral. Lineage: Bacteria; Pseudomonadati; Pseudomonadota; Alphaproteobacteria; Candidatus Pelagibacterales; Candidatus Pelagibacteraceae.
AGGGUUUGAUCAUGGCUCAGAACGUACGCUGGCGGCACGCCUAACACAUGCAAGUCGAACGAAGUAGCAAUACUUAGUGGCAGACGGGUGAGUAACAUGUAGGUAUCUGCCCUUUGGCCUGGAAUAACACGAGGAAACUUGUGCUAAUACCGGAUAAGUCUUUACGGAGAAAGCUUUAUGCACCAUUGGAUGAGCCUGCACUUGAUUAGUUUGUUGGUGGGGUAAUGGCCUACCAAGACUAUGAUCAAUAGCUGAUUUGAGAGGAUGAUCAGCCACAUUGGGACUGAGACACGGCCCAAACUCCUACGGGAGGCAGCAGUGGGGAAUCUUGCACAAUGGAGGAAACUCUGAUGCAGCGAUGCCGCGUGAGUGAAGAAGGCCCUUGGGUUGUAAAGCUCUUUCGUCGGGGAAGAAAAUGACUUUACCCGAAUAAGAAGGUCCGGCUAACUUCGUGCCAGCAGCCGCGGUAAUACGAAGGGACCUAGCGUAGUUCGGAAUUACUGGGCUUAAAGAGUUCGUAGGUGGUUGAAAAAGUUGGUGGUGAAAUCCCAGAGCUUAACUCUGGAACUGCCAUCAAAACUUUUCAGCUAGAGUAUGAUAGAGGAAAGCAGAAUUUCUAGUGUAGAGGUGAAAUUCGUAGAUAUUAGAAAGAAUACCAAUUGCGAAGGCAGCUUUCUGGAUCAUUACUGACACUGAGGAACGAAAGCAUGGGUAGCGAAGAGGAUUAGAUACCCUCGUAGUCCAUGCCGUAAACGAUGUGUGUUAGACGUUGGAAAUUUAUUUUCAGUGUCGCAGCGAAAGCGAUAAACACACCGCCUGGGGAGUACGACCGCAAGGUUAAAACUCAAAUGAAUUGACGGGGACCCGCACAAGUAGUGGAGCAUGUGGUUUAAUUCGAAGAUACGCGCAGAACCUUACCAACACUUGACAUGUUCGUCGCGACUUUAAGAGAUUAAAGUUUUCGGUUCGGCCGGACGAAACACAGGUGCUGCAUGGCUGUCGUCAGCUCGUGUCGUGAGAUGUUGGGUUAAGUCCCGCAACGAGCGCAACCCUCACUUUUAGUUGCCAUCAUUAAGUUGGGCACUCUGAAAGAACUGCCAGUGAUAAGCUGGAGGAAGGUGGGGAUGACGUCAAGUCCUCAUGGCCCUCACGUGUUGGGCUACACACGUGCUACAAUGGCAUCUACAACAGGAAGCAAGACGGCGACGUUAAGCAAAUCCUUAAAAGAUGCCUCAGUUCGGAUUGCACUCUGCAACUCGAGUGCAUGAAGCUGGAAUUACUAGUAAUCGUGGAUCAGCGUGCCACGGUGAAUGCGUUCCCGGGUCUUGUACACACCGCCCGUCACACCAUGGGAGUUGGUUCUACCUUAAGGCAAGGUUUAAAACCCUUGACCACGGUAUAGUCAGCGACUGGGGUGAAGUCGUAACAAGGUAGCC